Molecule: ribosomal RNA, 252 nt
Filed under: uncultured bacterium
Lineage: Bacteria
Description: partial 16S ribosomal RNA
Rfam family: Bacterial small subunit ribosomal RNA
Source: RNAcentral
UACGGAGGAUGCGAGCGUUAUCCGGAUUUAUUGGGUUUAAAGGGUGCGUAGGCGGGCUUUUAAGUCAGCGGUAAAAAUUCGGGGCUCAACCCCGUCCGGCCGUUGAAACUGGGGUCCUUGAGUGGGCGAGAAGAAGGCGGAAUGCGUGGUGUAGCGGUGAAAUGCAUAGAUAUCACGCAGAACCCCGAUUGCGAAGGCAGCCUUCCGGCGCCCUACUGACGCUGAGGCACGAAAGUGCGGGGAUCGAACAGG